GUCCAGCUGAUCAGUCCGAAAUAGGACGAAACAAGCGUCCUGAAU
This is a non-coding RNA of Schistosoma mansoni, 45 nucleotides long. NCBI's taxonomy places the organism in Eukaryota, Metazoa, Platyhelminthes, Trematoda, Strigeidida, Schistosomatidae. The record is from Rfam.